CUUGCUGGUGAGGUGGAAAAUCUUUCUCUGUUCCAAGCAGGGUGCACCUCCCCAUCUGCGUCAGAGACGGUAGGUGGUGCUGUGGUGUUAAAAGCUGAUUAAAGCAGGGGGUGAAAGUCCCACAGAGAAAAAAGUGACCCAAGUGCAGAGGGCUGGGGAGAGGAGUUUAAAGAAGGGCAGGAAUAUGCAUCCUCAUUCAGUGUCUUUCCAAUUCGGGUGCUACAGAGGAAAACCACAGCAUGGAAUGAGCGCAAAACUAAGUGAUCGUGCAUGGCAAGUACUCAAAAAUAUUCAUGAGUGUGAGUGAAAGGCAUGAAUAAGCCAAUGGGAGCUCUUAGCAUCGCUGAACAAUAUGGUUGGCCUCGACAAGUUGGAAGACAACUUGGGUGAAAAGAUGAAAGAUGGAUUUCAACGGAGAGCAUCUGGUUUUGUCAGAAAAAGGUAGGAGUCUGUUAGCUGAGGUUGGCAUACUGUGAUUGCCAGCUCCAAAAUGUCAGCCUGGGGCAACUGGCUGAGAAAGGAAUGCCAAUGGGUCAGUAAUAUCUGUCAUAUGAAUGGCACAUAGCAUGGUGGCACAAGCUAUAUACUCGAUGGCUCCGAUAAGACUAUGGCCAAUGAAAGAUUAUCAAAGUCUGUC
Molecule: long non-coding RNA, 637 nt
Filed under: Felis catus (domestic cat)
Lineage: Eukaryota; Metazoa; Chordata; Mammalia; Carnivora; Felidae
Description: lncRNA (ENSFCAG00000049164.1)
Source: RNAcentral